AGGAGGUGCAGUUUCAUCUGGAGUUUUCCUUUGUAGUGCACUGACAAAAAAAAAAAAAAAAAGCCUAAGGAGCUCCUAGGAUGACUUUCAAGUCACGGUUAAAAAUAAGCUAAAAUAAGUGUUACAUAAGGUAAAGGAGCUUCAGUUCUACGAUUCUGUUAUGAAGUAAAUCUAGUUAUAUAAUGUCUGCUGCCAGAAUUUCAACUUUCACUUCAAACAGGGUCACACCAGGAAUGAAGGUUUAAUAUUGAGAAAUGGUUUUUAGCUGACUUAUCUUUAUCAAUAUUUUUCUUGUUUCUUCUGCGACUGCAUUUUUUCGUGUGUGUAAAAGCAGGGGGGAAAUAAACUGUCACUGUAUGUGAUGUUAUGGAUUUCCUGCUGUUACAGGCUAUGAUACAUAACCCAUAGUGACAGGGAAAACUGGGAUACUUAUGGGAAGGAUUUAUUUGGGAAUUUAGAGGGAGCUUCCCGCUUGGUGUCCGUUUCUCAAACCCAUGAUAAUUGAACUGAAAUUAUUUCUAACCCUCUGUGCUGUCAAGCUUCUUUUACUGCCUCUUGAACAGCUGGAUUUCUCUUUGUUAUCGCUGUUAAUAAGCACUGGGAGAAUGAUUAGCUCUUCAAAGAGCAGACAUAUAAAUAUGAGAUUAUCAGAACAAUGCCAUCAUAAAACAGCUCCAGAAAAAUGGCGUUAAACCCCUCUUUUUGCCUUUUUUUUUUUUUUUCUGUCUUGCUGCAAGAGCAUUUAGUGGGCAAAACCGAACGGUGCCACGGGCCCUUGAGUGAGAAAUUCCUUCGAAGAAACAAGGCUUGUGUUGUUCCCCAGGAGGAUUAGCGGUUCCUGAGUCAUUUCUUAAGCACGGGCCGUGUAGCUGUGACAAAGGACGCUCCAGAACUCCUGACACUCGUCUCAGUGCAGGCAAAGGCCUAUCAACACAGCAGGAAGCAAAACCACCAGCAGCAGCAGCGUCACCUCCUUUCUUGGGAGGAGAGGAAGAGAAAACCACUGUGUCUUGCAGCAGCUAAGAAGGGCAGGGUGCUGGUAAUUUAUUCCCCAAACAGCCCCUGGCUCACUGAGGGCAGGGCUGACCAGAAAUCUUUUGACCAGCUCAGCCAAGAUUUUAUUUUGCAACAACAGGCACAGGAAAUGAUGCCAGGAGCAAAACGAGUUCCCCGAGAAGAUGAAGUAACCCUGUGAUUUGCAGAUCUGGGGUCUGGGCACAGAUCACUGAACAUUUCCAUGUCUUCUGUGUAGGGUCUUCGUGGAACCAAAGGAGGUGCAAGAGAAAGGAGCUGGGGAUGCUUCACCUGUCCAAGAACAAACACUGCUCUUCAAACAACAAGGGUGAUCUCUAAAUCCCUUUCCUCAGAAGGAGUAGGCUACACACUGUAAUAAACACUGACAGUGCUGUUCUAGAGAAUGAGAUGGGAAACAGAAGUCCUGUUCUCUGUGCAUUUUUUCAAAUUAUAAAAAGGGUCAUUUUUUUAGUUCCAAAAUAUUCCCGAAUAUGCAUUCUUAGAAUAGUUAAACCCAUUAAAAUUUAAUUUAAUAAUAGUGUUUCUUCUCUGUUUCUGGGUCAGUUCUCAACUUCCUCAGCUGGUGCUGAAUUGGAGUAACAAAGUUCUGGGAUUAACCACUGUAAAUGUAGUCAUCAAACUUUCUUUUAGGUGCCUUCCCAGGUAGAAAGUGCUAAACCAAUGCAGCCAAAUAUAUCACAAACUACAGGUUAUAGUGGUGUUGCCCCACCACCUGAAUUAGAGCUGUGACCUCUAAGUAUUUCCUAGAUCAGUGCUCCUGAGGACUCCCAACAGCCAUGCCAAAAAUGGAAACCUUCCCUAUUCAGCUUGGGAUCAGAGGAAUAACUCAAAAGACAAAUAUUUCAAUGCCUUCCAAGGGUUGUCUGUCAAAGAAGGAUUCAGCCAUCAAAGGCUGACACCUUCCUGUCCAGGGGUGAGCUGUCUCACCUCUCU
This is a long non-coding RNA of Corapipo altera (White-ruffed manakin), 1968 nucleotides long. RefSeq lists it as uncharacterized. The transcript has 3 exons. The record is from RefSeq and is a predicted model, not a curated record. NCBI's taxonomy places the organism in Eukaryota, Metazoa, Chordata, Aves, Passeriformes, Pipridae.